This 898-nucleotide long non-coding RNA is filed under the name Homo sapiens (human). Its description in RNAcentral is "uncharacterized LOC112268136 (LOC112268136)". Lineage: Eukaryota; Metazoa; Chordata; Mammalia; Primates; Hominidae. The record is from RNAcentral.
GCUGCUCCCAACUUGGAUCUGUCCCGCUCGAGGACGCAGAGCUGUGUCUGGAGCGCGGUCACCGCCCUCUACAGCUGGCUUCCCCAACCCGGUUCCCCCUCCCUUCCCCUCCGCCCUCGCUCCCGACGGACCCCCCAACUGCCAAGAAUCCCCCCGCGGGCCCAGCGGCCAACAGUUUCCCUUAGGCCGCGACAGGAAAUGUGUGCGGAGCGCUGCCAGGCCCGGUGCAGCCCUGAGUUAUUCUGGGGUCAGGAACACAGCUGGCGCCGGGUACAGGGGACGCAGUCGACUAGAAGGUCAAACACCCUGCUUAGAGCAAGAGGAGAAAUUCGCCACUGGGAUGAAGUGUGUGGUUUUUCUCCGUUCAGGGAGUUUCAUCAGGACCGCAGAACCCAUAACACGUACAAAGGGGACACAUUAAAUGUGAUCUCAAGUUUAAACUGUGUAUGCUGUCAAAGAAAUUCAAAUGGGGGCACCUCUUAUUAUAUUGGACCCAAGUAGCUCUGUCACUGUCUUCCCCAAACAAGGCUGAAGCUGUGCUGCAUAUUCUUACCUAGCCUAGGAAGUCAUAAAACAUCACUCUGCUUCAUUCUGUUGGAUACUGAUGAGUCAAAACUUGCCAUUUUCAAAGGAAAAGAAUGCAGACACCUCUUAAAAGAGCAGGUAGUUAGAAUGCAACACUGGAAGAAUGUGAGUUUGAGACUAGAAAGAAAAAUUGAGGUAGCAUUCAUAUGGCAACUUCAUAUGACUUGAUGAUGUGAGAUUCAACUGUUCUCCUUAGUGUGUUCUCUCUGCAAUUCCAGACCCCAUGAAAUAAAUCUCUGAAGCUUGCUUGUCUCCCAAACACUGUGUAAACCCACUGAAAACUUAAGUAAUGGAGUAAACAGCUUUCUGUGGC